Molecule: long non-coding RNA, 1553 nt
Organism: Triticum dicoccoides
Lineage: Eukaryota; Viridiplantae; Streptophyta; Magnoliopsida; Poales; Poaceae
Exons: 3
Source: RefSeq, a predicted model, not a curated record
AACACCGCGAGUUGCUCGCCCGAGUGCCGUCUUCCCCGACGCCGGUAAGAAGAUUCGCCGCCCAGACCGGCCGUGCGAGAGUCGCCGCUGCCGGGGGUUCGCGAUGCCGCCGUAGCUCUAGUUGAUCGGAAUCUGAUCUGACGGAGCACCGGCGAUCGACCAGCCACCAUGCCGGGAACCGGAGGCGCGACCGUCCUGGACGACCUUCCAGAGUGGAUCGUUGUCGAAGAGAUCCUCGUCCGUUUGCCACCCAAGGACAUCCUCCGCUGUCGCGCUGUCUGCAGGUGGUGGCACAGCGCCAUCUCCACCGACAAGUUCAUGCUGGACCACCACCGCCGCCAGCCCUUGCUCCCGAUCCUCAGCCACGUCGUCGUUCCGCAGAAAGCCCGCCUCCUGUUUUCCUUUGAUGCCGGUGCAGGCCAGCAAAAACUCUGCCCUGUCGUCCGGACCUAUGACUACGGUAAACUGCAGGCCGCCUGUGAUGGCCUCCUCGUUGUCUCCCACGGAUCCAUGACGGAUAAGUUCAUCUGCAACCCUGUCACCCGCAAGUCUGCCCGCCUAGCAAAGCCUCAGGCCCAACGGGGUUUUUACCACCAGAUUAUCGGCUUCUACCGGCACCAACCAUCCAGAGGAGAAUUCCGAGUGCUAUGGAUCUCUAGGCCGACGACCUACAAUUCAUACGACACAAAUUACAGAACUUUCUACUACGUCAUAGUGGUGGGAUCCGAUAAUACAAGAUGCAUCAGACAAGGAUGCAUCCACAACCAACAUCCUCGCCGCCUUCCUUGGAUCUGGCUUUACGCAGGGGCCUGCCUGAUUCGUCCCAGUAUCCACCAGUCCACCACCGUGGCGGCCUGCACUGGAGACUUAGAAGAUACCACGGCUCCGAUGCGGACUACAUAAUGGUGUUCAACACAGCAGCUGAAACAUUUCGAUUGAUGUGUCGUCCUGCCCGAUUGGGCAACUGCUUACAUGAGUCAUUGCUGGAGAUGGAUGACACUCUUGCUUUGUGCAGCAUCUGCAGUGACAAACACACCAUAGACUUUUGGGUGCUACAGGACUACGAUGCUGAAACAUGGUCUUUCAAGCAUCGGAUUAAUUUGAUUGGGGUGGAUCCAUCAGCGCUUGUUGAUCCAGAGGUCAUAAUAUCCCCUAGUAUGGCUGUUCUCAGUGGGGGUGAGAUGCUGAUUCGGUUUACUCAUAGGGGUGUGUUGCAUUUUGAUGUUGAUGGCAAGUUUUUAGGAUAUGUGAAAAGCCAAGAUGGCCAAGAAAUCAAUUUGUGGGUUACCGGGCAUUACCUCCAGGAGAGCAUUAUUCCCGGUCCACUGUUCCAUGAGAUGAGAGAAGAUGAUGGUGCGAACCAGGAGCCUCCAUUUUUUGUAGGACUGUAGGAUGCAAUGCUUGAUCUGGACGUUCUACACUGCUGGUUUGCAGCGCCAUUGGAGUAUCUAUUUUAAUUCUAUAUGAGCCUUUACUUUUGUUCUUUGUUGGUCUUCUUAGUGCUGCUUGUAGAACUGAACAAUUCGGAUGGUAGGAGAGCUCCUCUGCUAUCA